Molecule: ribosomal RNA, 497 nt
Filed under: uncultured bacterium
Lineage: Bacteria
Description: partial 16S ribosomal RNA
Rfam family: Bacterial small subunit ribosomal RNA
Source: RNAcentral
GACGAACGCUGGCGGCGUGCCUAAUACAUGCAAGUUGAGCGCUGAAGGUUGGUACUUGUACCAACUGGAUGAGCAGCGAACGGGUGAGUAACGCGUGGGGAAUCUGCCUUUGAGCGGGGGACAACAUUUGGAAACGAAUGCUAAUACCGCAUAAAAACUUUAAACACAAGGUUCAAGUUUGAAAGAUGCUAUUGCAUCACUUAAUGAUGAUCCCGCGUUGGAUUAGCUAGUUGGGGAGGUAAAGGCUCACCAAGGCGAUGAUACCUAACCGAACUGAGAGGGUGAUCCGCCAAAAUGGGAAUGAGAAACGGCCCAAACUUCUACGGGAGGCAGCAGUAGGGAAUCUUCGGCAAUGGACGGAAGUCUGACCGAGCAACGCCGCGUGAGUGAAGAAGGUUUUCGGAUCGUAAAACUCUGUUGGUAGAGAAGAACGUUGGUGAGAGUGGAAAGCGCAUCAAGUGACGGUAACUACCCAGAAAGGGACGGCUAACUACGUG